GUAGUACUCCCCCCGUUCGGAAUUACUUGUCGUAGAAAUGGAUGUAUCUAGACGUAUUUUAGUUCUAGAUACAUCCAUUUUCGCGACAAGUAAUUCCGAACGGAGGGAGUACUAC
Triticum aestivum (bread wheat) is the source of this 115-nucleotide non-coding RNA. The record is from Rfam. NCBI's taxonomy places the organism in Eukaryota, Viridiplantae, Streptophyta, Magnoliopsida, Poales, Poaceae.